GACGAACGCUGGCGGCGUGCCUAAUACAUGCAAGUCGAACGCAGUGGGGACGGGUGAGUAACAUGUGGGUAACCUCCCCUCAGAGGGGAUAACACUUGGAAACAGGUGCUCAACCGAUACUGCUGGAUGGACCCGCGGUGCAUUAGCUAGUUGGUGAGGUAACGGCUCACCAAGGCCACGAUGCAUAGCCGACCUGAGAGGAUGAUCGGCCACACGGGAACGGAGACACGGCCCAGACUCCUACGGGAGGCAGCAGUAGGGAAUCGUCGGCAAUGGACGAAAGUCUGACCGAGCAAUGCCGCGUGAGUGAAGAAGGUUUUCGGAUCGUAAAGCUCUGUUGGUAGAGAAGCGGUAUCUAACCAGAAAGCCACGGCUAACUACGUGCCAGCAGCCGCGGUAAUUC
RNAcentral lists this ribosomal RNA (403 nucleotides) under uncultured bacterium. Its description in RNAcentral is "partial 16S ribosomal RNA". It matches the Rfam family "Bacterial small subunit ribosomal RNA", at positions 28 to 526 of the family's 1533-position model. The record is from RNAcentral.